CGGGGUGUAGCUCAGCCUGGUAGAGCACGGGUUUUGGGAGCCCGACGUCGCUGGUUCGAAUCCAGUCACCCCGA
RNAcentral lists this transfer RNA (74 nucleotides) under Myxococcales bacterium. RNAcentral describes it as "tRNA-Pro". It matches the Rfam family "tRNA". Rfam says of the family: Transfer RNA (tRNA) molecules are approximately 80 nucleotides in length. Their secondary structure includes four short double-helical elements and three loops (D, anti-codon, and T loops). Further hydrogen bonds mediate the characteristic L-shaped molecular structure. tRNAs have two regions of fundamental functional importance: the anti-codon, which is responsible for specific mRNA codon recognition, and the 3' end, to which the tRNAs corresponding amino acid is attached (by aminoacyl-tRNA synthetases). tRNAs cope with the degeneracy of the genetic code in two manners: having more than one tRNA (with a specific anti-codon) for a particular amino acid; and 'wobble' base-pairing, i.e. permitting non-standard base-pairing at the 3rd anti-codon position. The record is from RNAcentral. Lineage: Bacteria; Pseudomonadati; Myxococcota; Myxococcia; Myxococcales.